This 253-nucleotide ribosomal RNA is filed under the name uncultured bacterium. Its description in RNAcentral is "partial 16S ribosomal RNA". It matches the Rfam family "Bacterial small subunit ribosomal RNA", at positions 524 to 776 of the family's 1533-position model. The record is from RNAcentral.
UACGUAGGGGGCAAGCGUUGUCCGGAAUCAUUGGGCGUAAAGCGCGUGUAGGCGGCUUCGUAAGUCCGUUGUGAAAGUCCAGGGCUCAACCCUGGAAUGCCGAUGGAUACUGCGGAGCUAGAGUCCGGAAGAGGCGAGUGGAAUUCCUGGUGUAGCGGUGGAAUGCGCAGAUAGCAGGAGGAACACCAAUAGCGAAGGCAGCUCGCUGGGACGUUACUGACACUGAGGCGCGAAAGCGUGGGGAGCGAACAGG